CGGUUCGAGUCCGCUUACCUCCACUGAUCGACCUCCUUACUGAGAAAUCCAAGGAGACAUUAUUGUUUAAUGUGAUUUAGACGUUGUUUUAUCUGAAUGAUCCUAGCUUCUUGUCAUUCCAAACCUAAUUUUUAGAUCAGGUUGACAUGACGCUGGGCUCAACACAAUUAAUUCAAUUGUGGAGAUGUUCAGUA
This 194-nucleotide unclassified non-coding RNA is filed under the name uncultured cyanobacterium. RNAcentral's name for it is "partial 16S-23S ribosomal RNA intergenic spacer". The record is from RNAcentral. Lineage: Bacteria; Bacillati; Cyanobacteriota.